This is an unclassified non-coding RNA of Aotus nancymaae (Ma's night monkey), 295 nucleotides long. It matches the Rfam family "Metazoan signal recognition particle RNA". Rfam says of the family: The signal recognition particle (SRP) is a universally conserved ribonucleoprotein. It is involved in the co-translational targeting of proteins to membranes. The record is from Ensembl. Lineage: Eukaryota; Metazoa; Chordata; Mammalia; Primates; Aotidae.
CCUUCUUUUAUGCCUAAUAAGAGACUCAGCUACUCAGGAGGCUGAGCCUGGAGGAUCCCUUGAGCCCAGGAGUUCUGGGCUGUAGUGUGCUAUACCAGUUGGGUGUUUGCACUAAGUCUGUCAUCAAUAUCAUGAUCUCCUGGGAGUAUGGAGGCACCAGGUUGCCUAAGGAGGGGUGAACGGGCCCUGGUCAGAAAUGGAGCAGGUUAGAAUUUCUGUGAUGAUUAGUAGUGGGAUCGUGCCUGUGAAUAGCCACUGCACUCCAGCCUGGGCAACAGAGUGAUUCCUGUCUGAA